This 22-nucleotide ribosomal RNA is filed under the name Crotalaria cylindrocarpa. RNAcentral's name for it is "partial 23S ribosomal RNA". Lineage: Eukaryota; Viridiplantae; Streptophyta; Magnoliopsida; Fabales; Fabaceae. The record is from RNAcentral.
GGGGCUCACCCGCUGAGUUUAA